RNAcentral lists this ribosomal RNA (441 nucleotides) under uncultured Rhodospirillaceae bacterium. RNAcentral describes it as "bacterial SSU rRNA". It matches the Rfam family "Bacterial small subunit ribosomal RNA", at positions 940 to 1382 of the family's 1533-position model. Lineage: Bacteria; Pseudomonadati; Pseudomonadota; Alphaproteobacteria; Rhodospirillales; Rhodospirillaceae. The record is from RNAcentral.
UGUGGUUUAAUUCGACGCAACGCGCAGAACCUUACCAGCUCUUGACAUCCCGCGACCGGUCCGGAGACGGACUUUUCCCUUCGGGGACGCGGAGACAGGUGCUGCAUGGCUGUCGUCAGCUCGUGUCGUGAGAUGUUGGGUUAAGUCCCGCAACGAGCGCAACCCUCAUCCUCAGUUGCCAGCGGUUCGGCCGGGCACUCUGUGGAAACUGCCGGUGACAAGCCGGAGGAAGGCGGGGAUGACGUCAAGUCCUCAUGGCCCUUAUGGGCUGGGCUACACACGUGCUACAAUGGCGGUAACAGUGGGGAGCAAGGGCGCGAGCCGGAGCAAAUCCCAAAAAGCCGUCCCAGUUCGGAUUGCACUCUGCAACUCGGGUGCAUGAAGUCGGAAUCGCUAGUAAUCGCGGAUCAGCACGCCGCGGUGAAUACGUUCCCGGGCCUU